Molecule: ribosomal RNA, 470 nt
Filed under: uncultured organism
Description: partial 16S ribosomal RNA
Rfam family: Bacterial small subunit ribosomal RNA
Source: RNAcentral
CACUCCUACGGGAGGCAGCAGUGGGGAAUUUUGGACAAUGGGCGAAAGCCUGAUCCAGCAAUGCCGCGUGUGUGAAGAAGGCCUUCGGGUUGUAAAGCACUUUUGUCCGGAAAGAAAUCCUUGGCUCUAAUACAGUCGGGGGAUGACGGUACCGGAAGAAUAAGCACCGGCUAACUACGUGCCAGCAGCCGCGGUAAUACGUAGGGUGCGAGCGUUAAUCGGAAUUACUGGGCGUAAAGCGUGCGCAGGCGGUUUGCUAAGACCGAUGUGAAAUCCCCGGGCUCAACCUGGGAACUGCAUUGGUGACUGGCAGGCUAGAGUAUGGCAGAGGGGGGUAGAAUUCCACGUGUAGCAGUGAAAUGCGUAGAGAUGUGGAGGAAUACCGAUGGCGAAGGCAGCCCCCUGGGCCAAUACUGACGCUCAUGCACGAAAGCGUGGGGAGCAAGCAGGAUUAGAAACCCCUGUAGUCC